GUGAGGCGUCCGGACUGGCCCAGGGAGGUCGGCAACGACCACCCAGGGCCGGAAAGUUCGUCAAACUUGGUCAUUUAGAGGAAGUAAAAGUCGUAACAAGGUCUCCGUAGGUGAACCUGCGGAGGGAUCAUUA
This 133-nucleotide ribosomal RNA is filed under the name Teratosphaeria velox. RNAcentral describes it as "partial 18S ribosomal RNA". It matches the Rfam family "Eukaryotic small subunit ribosomal RNA", at positions 1701 to 1831 of the family's 1831-position model. Lineage: Eukaryota; Fungi; Ascomycota; Dothideomycetes; Mycosphaerellales; Teratosphaeriaceae. The record is from RNAcentral.